Molecule: ribosomal RNA, 450 nt
Filed under: uncultured bacterium
Lineage: Bacteria
Description: bacterial SSU rRNA
Rfam family: Bacterial small subunit ribosomal RNA
Source: RNAcentral
AACGAACGCUGGCGGCAGGCCUAACACAUGCAAGUCGAACGCCGUAGCAAUACGGAGUGGCAGACGGGUGAGUAACACGUGGGGACGUACCCUUCGGUUCGGAAUAACUCAGGGGAAACUUGAGCUAAUACCGGAUACGUCCGAGAGGAGAAAGAUUUAUCGCCGAGGGAUCGGCCCGCGUCUGAUUAGCUUGUUGGUGAGGUAACGGCUCACCAAGGCGACGAUCAGUAGCUGGUCGAGAGGAUGAUCAGCCACAUUGGGACUGAGACACGGCCCAAACUCCUACGGGAGGCAGCAGUGGGGAAUAUUGGACAAUGGGCGCAAGCCUGAUCCAGCCAUGCCGCGUGAGUGAUGAAGGCCCUAGGGUUGUAAAGCUCUUUCGCACGCGACGAUGAUGACGGUAGCGUGAGAAGAAGCCCCGGCUAACUUCGUGCCAGCAGCCGCGGUAAU